This 497-nucleotide ribosomal RNA is filed under the name uncultured bacterium. RNAcentral describes it as "partial 16S ribosomal RNA". It matches the Rfam family "Bacterial small subunit ribosomal RNA", at positions 28 to 507 of the family's 1533-position model. The record is from RNAcentral.
GAUGAACGCUGGCGGCGUGCCUAAUACAUGCAAGUCGAGCGAACGGACGCUUAGCUUGCUUCUCUGAUGUUAGCGGCGGACGUGUGAGUAACAUGUGGAUAACCUACCUAUAAGAUUGGGAUAACUUCGGGAAACCGGAACUAAUACCGGAUAAUAUUUUGAACCGCAUGGUUCAAAAGUUAAUUACGUUCUUGCUGUCACUUAUAGAUGUAUCCUCGCUGCAUUAGCUAUUUGGUAAGGUAACGGCUUCCCAAGGCAACGAUGCAUAGCCGACCUGAGAGGGUGAUGGGCCACAAUGGAACUGAGACGCGAUCCAGACUCCUACGGGAGGCAGCAGUAGGGAAGCGUCCGAGAUGGGCGAAAGACUGAAGGAGCAACGCCGCGUGAGUGAUGAAGGUCUUCGGAUCGUAAAACUGUGUUAGUAGGGAAGAACAUAUGUGUAAGUAACUGUGCACAUCUUGACGGUACCUAAUCAGAAAGCCACGGCUAACUACGUG